GACGAACGCUGGCGGCGUGCUUAACACAUGCAAGUCGAACGGAAAGGCCUUUUCGGAGGUACUCGCUUGGCUAACGGGUGAGUAACACGCGGGUGAUCUGCCCUCCCCUCUCGGAUAAACCUGGUCAACUGGGUCUAAUACCGGAUAGGACCGCACUUCUGCGUGUUUGGUGGGAAGUUUUUUCUGGGUAGGUUGGGCCCGCGGACUAUCAGCUUGGUGGUGGGGUAAUGGUCUACCAAUGCGGCGGCGGGUAGCCGGACUGGGGGGUUGGUCGGCCACAAUGGGGAUGGGAAACGGCCCAGAAUCCUAAGGGGAGGAGCAGGGGGGGAUAAUGGAAAAUGGGGGGGAGGCUGAUGCAGCGACGGCGCGUGGGGGAUGACGGGCUUCGGGGUGUAAACUCCUUUCGGCAGGGACGAAGCGUUGUGUGACGGUACCGGGAGAAGAAGCACCGGCUAACUACGUG
Molecule: ribosomal RNA, 463 nt
Filed under: uncultured bacterium
Lineage: Bacteria
Description: partial 16S ribosomal RNA
Rfam family: Bacterial small subunit ribosomal RNA
Source: RNAcentral